GGUGUCCUGUCCAUAAAUAAAAUGGCUUGCUCAAGAAACCAGGUUUGAAGUGGAGGUUUGCCGUCACUCCCCAGAUCUGUAUGGAAGUGUCAGAAGUGGAGUCAGCUAGUUAGUUCACCCCAAUAGGUACUGAGAGCUAUUAAGUCUGUACCACUGUGUCGGGAGAGACCAGGAGGAAUCGAGCAGACUCCAAGAUGAUGAUUAAGGUGGGCCCUAAUCCAAUCUGACUGGUGUCCUCGUAAGAAGAGAAGAUGAGGACACAGACAAACACAGAGGGAAGACUGUGUGAGGGCACAGGGAGAAAAUGACUCUCUACAACAAGGAGAGAGGCUUCAGAAUAAACCAAUUCUGCUGACACCUCUCAAACUUCUAGCCUCCAGAAGAGUGAGGAAAUCCAUUUCUGUUGUAUAAGCCACCCAGUUUGUGGUGUUUAUUAUGGCGGCCCUAGCAAGGGAAUACAGAGGGAGACAGGUUCAGACAUGUAAAGCGAGCCUUUAAAAGACACCACGUGCACCAGUGGAGCCCCAGGCCCAGGCCCCACAGACCUUGCCUCCUGGUCCAGUCCUUACUUUAUCUCAGGAUGUGACAUUGCGUUUCUUAUGGAAAAGAUCUCACUAACCUACUUCAUUUAGGAAUGCAAUUUAAUUGGCAACUCAACGGUGAUGUCGCUUCUUUUGCCAUUUUUCUGCAACACCAAAGGAAAAAAUUUUAAGCCAGCUUUUUUUAGCUGCAAAGAUGACAAAUGUUAUCAACAAUAUCCAACCAGAGUAUAUUUUCAUCCCUUUUCAUCCCGUCACGAUAAGCCAGAAGUAUUUGUUGCCAGAAAUGGAAAACAGCUUGUUCAUCAGCCAGAUGAUCGCAGUGCUCAGAAGUUCCACUCGUUUGCCAUGUGUGAAAAGUUAAGAAUUGAAAACAGACAGGCUUGCUCUGCUUAAACCGUGAGUUCUGUGAAGCAAGAGAAAGAGAAAUUUGGAUACUAGGAGAAGAGUUGUGAGAUGGUUUCGACGGCAAAGUGAACAGGGCCUUUUCACAUUAUUCUGAGAUGGGACCUCUGGGUUGAUUUGAUAGUGGAUAUGACUGUUCUCUAAUUGGCUAGAAGAUGAGUCUAAAGUUACCAACCACCGGAGGAUACUUUUGUGUUCUAGAACAAAUUCCAAUGUCCUACACAAAUGUGAUGCUGGGGACUUCUCUGUUACCUGACACCAAAUUUCCUAGACAUUUCCAUUAUACUUCCUCUUCCUGAUUAUCUUGAGUGGGAAAUCUCCAUGAGUUCUUAGUAGAAGGCAGAAGUAUACAGUGGACCUGGGCCUUCAUUAGAAACCAUGAGACUUCAAAUGAGAGCCUGAAUUAUUCCUUUAUGUUUUCAUUUAUGUGAGAAAAUAAGGGAUAUUGUUGACUUUUUAUGAGAUUAAGUUACCCAGUUAUCCAUCCUAUUAUUAUAAGUUUUAGUGUUUGCAAA
Molecule: long non-coding RNA, 1459 nt
Filed under: Homo sapiens (human)
Lineage: Eukaryota; Metazoa; Chordata; Mammalia; Primates; Hominidae
Description: novel transcript
Source: RNAcentral